CAAUAGCGUAUAUUAAAGUUGUUGCAGUUAAAAAGCUCGUAGUUGGAUUUCGGGGCAGCCUGGCUGGUCCGCCGCAAGGCGAGUACUGGUCAGCCGCCCUUCCUCUCGAAAGCCCCGACUGCUCUUUAUUGCAGUGGUCGGGUAGUUCGGGACGUUUACUUUGAAAAAAUUAGAGUGUUCAAGGUAGGCCUACGCCUGAAUACAUUAGCAUGGAAUAAUGGAAGAGGACCUCGGUCCUAUUUUGUUGGUUUCCAGGACCGAAGUAAUGAUUAAGAGGGACAGUUGGGGGCAUUCGUAUUUAAUUGUCAGAGGUGAAAUUCUCGGAUUUAUGAAAGACGAACAACUGCGAAAGCAUUUGCCAAGGAUGUUUUCAUUAA
Molecule: ribosomal RNA, 377 nt
Filed under: uncultured eukaryote
Lineage: Eukaryota
Description: partial 18S ribosomal RNA
Rfam family: Eukaryotic small subunit ribosomal RNA
Source: RNAcentral